RNAcentral lists this ribosomal RNA (468 nucleotides) under uncultured bacterium. RNAcentral describes it as "partial 16S ribosomal RNA". It matches the Rfam family "Bacterial small subunit ribosomal RNA", at positions 28 to 507 of the family's 1533-position model. The record is from RNAcentral.
GACGAACGCUGGCGGCGUGCUUAACACAUGCAAGUCGAACGGAAAGGCCCUGCUUUUGUGUGUUGCUCGAUUGGCGAACGUGUGUGUAACACGUGAGUAACCUGCCCUUUACUUUGGGAUAACUUCAGGUAACUUGUGCUAAUACCCGAUAUGAUCUCCUGCUGCAUUGUGGGGGUUGGAAAUUUUCGGCGGUUGGGGAUGGACUCGCGGCUUAUCAGCUUGUUGGUGGGGUAGUGGAUUACCAAGGCUUUGACGGGUAGCCGGCAUGAGAGGGUGACCGGGCAAAUUGGGACUGAGAUACGGACCAGAAUGCUACGGGAGGCAGCAGUGGGGAAUAUUGCACAAUGGGCGGAAGCCUGAUGCAGCAACGCAGGGUGCGGGAUGACGGCCUUAGGGUUGUAAACAGAUUUGGACUGUGAAGAAGAGUGAGUGACGGUAAUGGGUAAAGAAGCACCGGCUAACUACGUG